This is a long non-coding RNA of Polistes dominula (European paper wasp), 1577 nucleotides long. NCBI's taxonomy places the organism in Eukaryota, Metazoa, Arthropoda, Insecta, Hymenoptera, Vespidae. The record is from RefSeq and is a predicted model, not a curated record.
UAGAAGAAAGAUGAAAAUACGAAAGAAAUAAAAAAAGGGGGGAGAAAAUAUAGAACGUGUGGGUAGUGUGUUUGUUUCUAGUGCGAGAGAGGCUGAGGAAUUAAAUAGAGAAAGAGAAAGAGAGAAAGAGAGAAGGAGAGGGAGAAUAAAGGGAAAAUGGUGGGGGAUGAUUCUUUAACUGCAAUGAUGUUAAAAAUAGGUAGUACGCACGGACGGCGCCAUAUUUUCAGAAAUAAGUUCUCCGGUUACAGAGUCUAUUUCCGGUCUGGGACGGCGAACCGCGCUAUAGUUCGUUCAAUCGUGUUUGGCGCUAUCUUGCGGACGAUGUUUCCAAGAAAUAGAACUAAAUUCUAGUCAUCCGAAUAACCACGCAAUGUACACUCAACGCUGAUGAGUCUACAUUUACUGAACAAUCAACUACCCUACAAUCUAAAUUCGCUCGCCAGAUUUCAAUCCUAAUUUAAAUACCAAACCAACUAUCCCAAAAGAAGUCAAAAGAAGCCAAAAAGACACAGGGCAAGAGUGCAUGAAAAAGAGUACGAAAGGAAUGUAAAAAAAAGAGAGAGAGAGAAAGAGAGAGAGAAAGAGAGAGAGAGAAAGAGAUAGUUUAAAUACAGAAUCGGAUCGCGUCAAAUUGACGGGGAUGAGGAUAAAAGUGCGUUAAAGGGUCGAUUUAUGAGCUCGAGACAGCGUAGGAAGCGCUAGCAAGCACGAGCCUUCGCCCUAAUAAAUAACCAGGCUGCCUGGUUGCCUAGCUGGCUGGUUGGUUGGUUGGUUGGCUGGUUGGCUGACUGGUUGGCUGACUGGCUGGCUGGCUCGUAUAAGGGUGGAUGGGAUGUAGAAGGGAAGAGGGUGAACGCGAUCAUCCCAGCUAUGCGCUAUGCGAAAAGGGGGUAGAAGAGGAGGAGGGAGGAGAGGGAGGACUGAGGAAGGAGACUACUACUACUACUACCAYCCUCUCUUGGUAUGGCUAUUCACCAUGAAAACGUGCGAGAGAGGACUUGCGUUCUCGUUAUUGUAGCGAUUUGAAUUGGCCGCCAACGUUGUCCUCAUCCUCAUCGUCGUCGUCAUCGUCGUUCGUCGUCGUCGUCCUCGACUGUUACUACUGUUAGUGCUGCUGACGACGAACCGUACCUCUCUAGGUCCAGUUCCAUUGUCGCGAAUAAUUCUACGAUAUCGUCGGAUUAAACGAUCAUGAGAGAAAGAGGAAGAUAGAGGGAGAAAAGUAAAGGGUAGGGGGAGGAGAAAUGAGAGGAAGAGGUAAUCGUUGUAGCAAGAAUUCGCAGCGUUCGUGCUUUAAAUCGCUCGACACCGAUUUUCACGCUCUUUUAUUCCUCGACCCCUGUCCACUUUUUCUAUCUAUCUCUCUCUUUUUUUUUCUGUGUUAUCCGAAAAAAUUAAAAUUCGACUCUGGUAUUACCAACGACGACGAUCGUUAUUCAACCCGUUUUUUUUCUUUUUUCUUCUUUUUUUGAGUACAUUUUUUUUCUUUCUUUUCCUUCACUUCCUAUUUAAAAUAAUAAUAGUCAAACGAUGCGGUUAAUAAUUAGGGGUAGUUUUGUGAAUAAAUGUGCUGA